RNAcentral lists this ribosomal RNA (525 nucleotides) under uncultured bacterium. RNAcentral describes it as "bacterial SSU rRNA". It matches the Rfam family "Bacterial small subunit ribosomal RNA", at positions 29 to 535 of the family's 1533-position model. The record is from RNAcentral.
UAUCAACGCUGGCGGCGUGCCUAACACAUGCAAGUCGAACGCGGUUACCCCGCAAGGGGUAACUGAGUGGCGAACGGGUGAGUAACACGUGGGUGACCUACCUUCGAAUGGGGGAUAACGUCCCGAAAGGGACGCUAAUACCGCAUAACAUCCUGCCUUUGAACAGGUGGAGAUCAAAGCCGGGGAUCGCAAGACCUGGCGUUUGAAGAGGGGCCCGCGUCCGAUUAGCUAGUUGGUGAGGUAACGGUUCACCAGGGCGACGAUCGGUAGCCGGCCUGAGAGGGCGGACGGCCACACUGGGACUGAGACACGGCCCAGACUCCUACGGGAGGCAGCAGUGGGGAAUUGUUCGCAAUGGGCGCAAGCCUGACGACGCAACGCCGCGUGGAGGAUGAAGGUCUUCGGAUUGUAAACUCCUGUUGCCCGGGACGAAUAGCUCCGACCUAACACGUCGGAGUCUGACGGUACCGGGUGAGGAAGCCCCGGCUAACUCUGUGCCAGCAGCCGCGGUAAUACAGAGGGGCC